AAUAUAUACAUAUAUACUUUAAAAUACAUCAGAGUAAUUGAAUGAAAUUAAAGUGCCUUUGAUUUGUACAACCAUGUACAGAGAGAAAUAGUUUUGAAAACAGGAUAUAAAAGAACUCUUCAGUUUUGUUCUGUAAGGAUUUGCAUUAAUGGAUUCCACCUGUUUCAAAAGCUGUUCUGUCUAUAAUGAUCAUCCUGAACUAUUCAACUACUCAAUAGGGCUGAAAUACUAAAAACUCACAUUUUAAUGACAUGUUUUUUUACUGGAAUUCUUUAAUGUCUUCAAAGACCAAACGUUUUAGUUUCCUUUAAUGUUUCUACAAUGAUCACGGCACAUCUUUACAUGUGGAAAAUGCACACCACCUGAUGUGUUCUGUUCUGAGAUGGAUGCUUCAUUUCUUCUUUCCAGUAAUGAACAGUUUUUAAAAAAAAAAAACAAGUUUAGAUUGCGUUUCACUCAUUUUUAGUUAAAGGUAGAUUUCAGAAGCUAUUUACUUUAGAAGAUGUCUAUAUGAUUAAAGGGUAAAUGUGUUAUGUUCUUUAGUUUUAUGGAAGUGAAUGUGAUUCAGCAGACUGUUAGAUCUGCUUUGUGAAAGAAGCCCCAGGGGAUUCCACUCAAUUGCAAACACAAUCAAAAAUGAAAAAAGUCAAUUUACCAUGUAACUCAAAUAGUAAUAUAAUCCUGCCUAAUUGUGCCAGGUUCAUUACAAAUCGAUAUUAGUUUGCUAACAGUAAUUGAUAUUUGUAUCAUGAACGUGUUACAGUCUAUAUAUUUUGAAAAGUCAAGAUAUAUCACAUAUACUUGAUUUAUUUAAAGAUGUAUUUCUGCAAUGUGAACUGCGUUUUAUCUGUGUUCUCCUUCCUGAGUCGACACUAGAGUACUGGCGCAGAAGUCUAGGUAGGUACUGUUGGGCCAAGUAGUGAGAGCUCCCCCUUGCGUUGUGCAGUGACACCAAUAACUUGUUGCUGCCCUUGACCAAAACAAAGACAUGCAUUGUGUCCUUACUCUCCUAGUUGUUAUUUAACAUGUGUCAGGGGGCUACUAUUAACGUGUAAUAAACCAACAAUAUUUUGUAUUGUAUUGAUUAAUGAGAUAGAAAGAACAAUUCAGUAUUAGUCAAGUCUAACAUUUUAUGAAAUGUGUUUUAUCCACACAGGUGACGAUUAGAAACUGCACAACAGCACAAAUUCAUCCUCUGGCUGCGAUGAUGUUUCUACACAAAACGAACAAAAUAAUGUUUGCGAGAGCUGCAGUUGAAGUGUCUCAUUUGUUGAGGAAUCGUGUAGAUAUCUGUACUAAUUCAGAGUUGUUUUUUUUAGGUGGUAGCAUGGAAAAAGAAAAGAGAAAGGAAGGAUACACACCUGUCCCAGGUGUGACUAUGACCAAUUGGACAGACAGUGUAGCUGUAAGUGUUGAAAACUCUCCUGGACAUGGAACCUCAUCCCAGGAAUCAUCUUUCGAUAACACUGCUGGCAGCACCAUUGCAAAAGACCUACAAGUCAAUCCGAUGAGCAGCUCACAAACCUGGAGCUCACACAGAACAUCUACUGCUCAGAUAAACAGCAACAACAACAUUGUGGAUACAGCGAUGCAUUUAAAGGCCACAGUUCCACCUGAAAAUGUGACUGACUUGACUCUAUAUGAACAAUCAAAAGACAUAAGAAGAGAUGCUGGAACGCACAGCCAGACAAGUUCAGGAGCAGUGAAGUGACCAAGAAUGCGUCUUCACGGAUAGCUUUCCCUGUUUUUCUUCUAAAGACUUCUUUCUAAUAGCAACUCGUCUAUGGGUCACCUCCUGGAGCAUUAACACAGUGGCCAGCCUGGAUUCUACAGGAUGUGGCAUCAAUGAACCAAUCAUAUCUUCACAUACAGUCAGGAUGCGAUCAAGCUGUUGAGAUGUGUAUUACUGAAUUACUGAAAAUGACUGAAAUCUGAGACGUCAUUAUUUUUUAUUUUAUUUUUUUUUACUCCUGUUCUGCUGAAACAGCAUCUAAAAUAUAUGUACUUACUUUUGCAUGGUUCAAUUAAAUCUACUUACUCAGCUUAACUUACUGUGUAGUUCAAAGUCAUAACUGGGACUACUUUUGUGGUCCCUUUAUUGGCGUAAGGAUAUUUUAUAAAAACAACAUUUUUUUUUUGACCAAAAAAUUACUUUUUUUUUUUUUUAAAUCCACUGUUUUAUAAACGCAAUAAGGCCAUUCAAGGUGUCGAUAUAUGUUCAAUAUAUGGACUUCUCAGGGGUUGGACAUAUAUGGACACCAUGUCCGGCCUUAUUGUAUACAUAUAAGAUCAAUGCUUUUACAUUUGUAGGGCAAGCAGCAUUUCUUUAGAAUGUUAUCAAAGUAAUAUAAAGUUAUGGGUACUAAUUUUUAACUGUACAAAUGUUCUUGCUAGUGUAUCAUACUGUAAAUGCCUUUUAAAGUUAUACAGAUUAUAUGUACACAUUUGUGUUGCUUAAAGUUAAACAUAUUCAGAAAGGUAGCAUUUCUUCAAGUUGUGAGAUAUUUCUAAGU
This is a long non-coding RNA of Polyodon spathula (Mississippi paddlefish), 2513 nucleotides long. RefSeq lists it as uncharacterized. The record is from RefSeq and is a predicted model, not a curated record. The transcript is spliced from 3 exons. Lineage: Eukaryota; Metazoa; Chordata; Actinopteri; Acipenseriformes; Polyodontidae.